This 459-nucleotide ribosomal RNA is filed under the name uncultured bacterium. RNAcentral's name for it is "partial 16S ribosomal RNA". It matches the Rfam family "Bacterial small subunit ribosomal RNA", at positions 338 to 795 of the family's 1533-position model. The record is from RNAcentral.
CCUACGGGUGGCAGCAGUGAGGAAUAUUGGUCAAUGGCCGGAAGGCUGAACCAGCCAUGCCGCGUGAAGGUCAGUGCCCUAUGGGCGUUAAACUUCUUUUGUGCGGGAGCAAUAAUGGUCACGUGUGGCCAGACGAGAGUACCGUACGAAUAAGCAUCGGCUAACUCCGUGCCAGCAGCCGCGGUAAUACGUAGGGGGCAAGCGUUAUCCGGAUUCACUGGGUGUAAAGGGAGCGUAGACGGCGACGCAAGUCUGGAGUGAAAGCCCGGGGCCCAACCCCGGGACUGCUCUGGAAACUGCGGCGCUGGAGUACGGGAGGGGCAGGCGGAAUUCCUGGUGUAGCGGUGAAAUGCGUAGAUAUCAGGAGGAACACCGGCGGCGAAGGCGGCCUGCUGGACCGUGACUGACGUUGAGGCUCGAGAGCGUGGGGAGCAAACAGGAUUAGAUACCCCAGUAGUC